UUGGUACUAGAUAUGUUUUGUGUAGGAUAGGUGGGAGGCUUUGAAACGGGCACGCUAGUGUUCGUGGAGCCGCCCUUGAAAUACCACCCUGGACCUAUUUGGUAUCUAACACCGACCCGUGAAUCCGGGCGGUGGACAGUUUCAGUUGGGCAGUUUGACUGGGGCGGUCUCCUCCUAAAGAGUAACGGAGGAGCUCAAAGGUACCCUCAGCCUGGUUGGCAAUCAGGCGUAGAGCGCAAAGGUAGAAGGGUGCUUGACUGCAAGACCUAUAAGUCGAGCAGAGACGAAAGUCGGCCAUAGUGAUCCGGUGGUCCCGAGUGGAAGGGCCAUCGCUCAACGGA
Molecule: ribosomal RNA, 341 nt
Filed under: Stygamoeba regulata
Lineage: Eukaryota; Discosea; Stygamoebida
Description: partial Bacterial large subunit ribosomal RNA
Rfam family: Bacterial large subunit ribosomal RNA
Source: RNAcentral